CCUACGGGCGGCAGCAGUGAGGAAUAUUGGUCAAUGGACGAGAGUCUGAACCAGCCAAGUAGCGUGAAGGAUGACUGCCCUAUGGGUUGUAAACUUCUUUUAUAUGGGAAUAAAAUGUUCCACGUGUGGGAUUUUGUAUGUACCAUAUGACUAAGGAUCGGCUAACUCCGUGCCAGCAGCCGCGGUAAUACGGAGGACCCGAGCGUUAUCCGGAUUUAUUGGGUUUAAAGGGAGCGUAGGUGGAUUGUUAAGGCAGUUGUGAAAGUUUGCGGCUCAACCGUAAAAUUGCAGUUGAAACUGGCAGUCUUGAGUACAGUAGAGGUGGGCCGAAUUCGUGGUGUAGCGGUGAAAUGCUUAGAUAUCACGAAGAACUCCGAUUGCGAAGGCAGUUCACUGGACUGCAACUGACACUGAGGCUCGAAAGUGUGGGUAUCAAACAGGAUUAGAUACCCUGGUAGUC
RNAcentral lists this ribosomal RNA (460 nucleotides) under uncultured bacterium. RNAcentral's name for it is "partial 16S ribosomal RNA". It matches the Rfam family "Bacterial small subunit ribosomal RNA", at positions 338 to 795 of the family's 1533-position model. The record is from RNAcentral.